UACGUAGGGACCAAGCGUUGUUCGGAUUUACUGGGCGUAAAGGGCGCGUAGGCGGUAUGACAAGUCACUUGUGAAAUCUCCGGGCUUAACUCGGAACGGCCAAGUGAAACUGUCAAACUAGAGUGCGGAAGGGGCAAUCGGAAUUCUUGGUGUAGCGGUGAAAUGCGUAGAUAUCAAGAGGAACACCUGAGGUGAAGACGGGUUGCUGGGCCGACACUGACGCUGAUGCGCGAAAGCGUGGGGAGCGAACAGG
This 253-nucleotide ribosomal RNA is filed under the name uncultured bacterium. RNAcentral's name for it is "partial 16S ribosomal RNA". It matches the Rfam family "Bacterial small subunit ribosomal RNA", at positions 524 to 776 of the family's 1533-position model. The record is from RNAcentral.